UUGCGGUAAAAAAGCUCGUAGUUGGAUUUCUGUUGGGGGCGACCGGUCCAUACCAUGUAUGCGCAUCUGGUUCGGCCUCGGCAUCCUCUCGAGGCUUGUGCUGCGCUUGAUUGCGUGGCAUUGGUUUCGGGACUUUUACUUUGAGGAAAUUAGAGUGUUCACGGCAGGCUAUCGCCAGAAUACAUUAGCAUGGAAUAAUAAUAUAGGAUUUCGAUUCUAUUUUGUUGGUUUCUAGGAUCGAGAUAAUGAUUAAUAGGGACGAUUGGGGGCAUUUGUAUCAUGAGGUCAGAGGUGGAAUUCUUGGAUUCUCAUGCGACAAACUACUGCGAAAGCAUUUGCCAAGGAUGUUUACAUUGAUCAAGAACGAAAGUAAAGGGAUCGAAGAUGAUUAGAUACCGUCGUAGUCUUUACCAUAAACUAUGCCAACUAGGGAUGAGACCUCGUUCAUUUACGACUGGUUUCGCACCUUAUGAGAUAUCAAAGUUUUUGGGUUCCGGGGGGAGUAUUAUCGCAAGUUAGAAACUUAAAGGAAUUGACGGAAGGGCACCACCAGGAGUGGAGCCUGCGGCUUAAUUUGACUCAACACGGGGAAACUCACCAGGUCCAGACACAAAAAGGAUUGACAGAUUGAUAGCUCUUUCAAGAUAUUGUGGGGUGGUGGUGCAUGG
RNAcentral lists this ribosomal RNA (668 nucleotides) under uncultured marine eukaryote. RNAcentral describes it as "bacterial SSU rRNA". It matches the Rfam family "Eukaryotic small subunit ribosomal RNA", at positions 613 to 1287 of the family's 1831-position model. The record is from RNAcentral.